UGAGUACGAGCUGCUACGGCAGCGAAGUGGGUGAUGUCAAGCUUCCAAGAAAAGCCCUAUACCCGUUAAGGCAUGAUGGCCUGUACCCGAAACCGACACAGGUGGGGUGGUAGAGAAUACCGAGGGGCGCGAGGUAACUCUCUCUAAGGAACUCGGCAAAAUGGCCCCGUAACUUCGGGAGAAGGGGUGCCACCGCAAGGUGGUCGCAGUGAAGAGGCCCAGGCGACUGUUUACCAAAAACACAGGUCUCCGCUAAGUCGCAAGACGAUGUAUGGGGGCUGACGCCUGCCCAGUGCCGGAAGGUUAAGGAAGCUGGUCAGCGUAAGCGAAGCUAGCGACUGAAGCCCCGGUGAACGGCGGCCGUAACUAUAACGGUCCUAAGGUAGCGAAAUUCCUUGUCGGGGUAAGUUCCGACCCGCACGAAAGGCGUAACGAUCUGGCGCUGUCUCGGAGAGAGGCUCGGCGAAAUAGAAUUGUCUGUGAAGAUGCGGACUACGUGCACCCGGACAGAAAGACCCUAUGAAGCUUUACUGUAGCUUGGUAUUGUGCUCGGGCUCGGAAUGCGCAGGAUAGGUGGGAGGCUAUGAACCAUUGCUUGUGGGUGAUGGUGAGCCACUGGUGAGAUACCACUCUUUCCGAGCUAGAGUUCUAACAGCCACCCGUUAUCCGGGGGCUGGACAGUAUCAGGUGGGCAGUUUGACUGGGGCGGUCGCCUCCUAAAAGGUAACGGAGGCGCGCAAAGGUUUGCUCAGGCUGGUUGGAAAUCAGCCGACGAGUGUAAAAGCAGAAGCAAGCUUGACUGUGAGACCUACAAGUCGAACAGGGAGGAAACUCGGCUUUAGUGAUCCGACGGUUCUGCGUGGAAGGGCCGUCGCUCAACGGAUAAAAGUUACUCUAAGGAUAACAGGCUGAUCUCCCCCAAGAGUUCACAUCGACGGGGAGGUUUGGCACCUCGAUGUCGGCUCAUCGCAACCUGGGGCUGAAGUCGGUCCCAAGGGUUGGGCUGUUCGCCCAUUAAAGCGGUACGCGAGCUGGGUUCAGAAUGUCGUGAGACAGUUCGGUCCAUAUCCGGUGCAUGCGCAGGAAUAUUGAGAGGAUUUCUCCCUAGUACGAGAGGACCGGGAGGAACGCACCUCUGGUGUACCAGUUAUCGUGCCAACGGUAAACGCUGGGUAGCCAUGUGCGGAGAGGAUAACCGCUGAAAGCAUCUAAGUGGGAAGCCCACCUCAAGAUGAGUAUUCCCAUGGGGUAACCCAGUAAGGUCACGGGAAGAACACCCGUUGAUAGGCUCUACGUGGAAGCGCAGUAAUGUGUGAAGCGGAGGAGUACUAAUAGACCGAGGGCUUGA
RNAcentral lists this ribosomal RNA (1348 nucleotides) under metagenome. Its description in RNAcentral is "bacterial LSU rRNA". It matches the Rfam family "Bacterial large subunit ribosomal RNA", at positions 1564 to 2925 of the family's 2925-position model. The record is from RNAcentral.